GACUCUGUGCUCUGUGUGUGUGAGAUACUAGCUAGUUCACUUUUUAUGUCAAAUUUAGAACUUGCUUAGCUAGUGUUGCCUAGGUUGAAGGAUAGUCGGUUAGGAAAGCAUCAUAGGACAUUUUUUAUUAUAGUCAACUUUAGCCUAAAUGACCUUCCAUGUGUACAUUAUAUCCCCUGAUCCAUGAUUUGAGCCUUGUAAACAUAUUUUUUCUU
RNAcentral lists this long non-coding RNA (215 nucleotides) under Capsicum annuum. RNAcentral's name for it is "long non-coding RNA (CANN_LNC018498)". Lineage: Eukaryota; Viridiplantae; Streptophyta; Magnoliopsida; Solanales; Solanaceae. The record is from RNAcentral.